GGAAGGAGGAGAAUUAGCACGCCCUCUCCCAGGGCCCACGCCAGGGGUAACCUGGACCUGAGCUUCCCACCUUCAGCUGACCUAGACCAAGAGCAGGCUGGGCCUGGCCAGUGACUGCUUGUGGUUAUUGAAAGUUUUCCUUUUCUGUCUUAACCCAGGAAAAGUGAUUUCUAUGCUUUUGAAGACCAGCGAAAAGUGGAUGCCACAGAUGCCAUCCACAUGUGGCGGGUCCAGCCUGGGGUUUUUUUUUAUCUACCCCAGCCACCUGAACGAGGGCAGCAUCAGGACAGUGGCGAGGCUCAUAAGGGGACACGCACAGCAACAAAUUAUCAGCUGACAAUGGGAGUGUGCCUACUCGACAGCUUCUGGAACAUUUCCUCCAGUGACUCCAGAUGUACCCAUGGCUGUCUCCAAGGAGCCCGCACUGGGGGACAUGAGAGGCGCCAUCUUUCUUUUCUGAGGGGGCUGCCCCGCCCACUCCCCUGCGAGCUGUGGAGCAGACACCUUCUCCCCUCCUGGCCACACGGGAAGGCCACGGGGAGUGUCAGGGAUGCCGUGGACGUGUGUGUCAAGGCCGGAGCCACAACACGCUUGGUGAACCUUCUGCUGUAGCCAAGAUACCUGUUCCUCUCUUAAAGGAACACAUGGAGCAUCGCCGUCUGCUCACCGCUCACCUCCUCACUGGGUUUCCACCCCCGGCUUCUCUGCAGGCUGGAACCUCACAAGGGUCUGCAUCCGGGCCCUGGACUGGGCGCCUGCACAUUCAAGUCAUCGAAGCCCCCUUUCCUGAGGGCUGCUGGGUGACUUGGAGUCCCUGGGACCCUUCCAGGCUUUGUCUGGCUGCACCCAGAGCCCUCUUUGCUCCUUGCUGUCGGGUGCAGGCAGAGCCUGAGGGCCUGGCCAGAUGCCCCUCGGGGAUGGGACGUGGGUCAUGAGCCAAGUGUGAGCUCCUGGCUUGUCAUAGCCAGCUUGUGCCUUCUCACAGGCUGGGGACAGGCUGGAGGGGUUUGACUGAGACACGGGAGGGAGUGCAGUUCCUGGCUUUCUCUUCUGCCUCUCUGCUGGGUUCCCUUUGUGACCUUGGCCAUAGCCAGAACCUGCCCCGGCCUGUGCUGGGCAUUUUAUGUUGCUUAUGAGGGGAGGUCCACACCAGUCUGGUCCCUUGUUUUGCAGCCGAAGCUCACCAUGCCGUGAAGGCGUCAGGUCUGACUGUGGGGUGUGGCUUGUGCAAAGGACUCUGGGUAUUUGCCACCCCUGCCCUGGAGGCCUCCCUUACCCCCCUGCCCACUCCCACUCUGUCACCCAGGCCUCCAAGCUCUGAUAUUUUUCAGCAAGCACAGCUCACAGAGCACGUGGCGACCUGAGCCCAGAGGCCCCGGGGCUGACCAGCUCCAUAUCCCACAGGGAAAGGGGUGAAGAGGGAGCUACCCCUUGAUAACAGAGGUCCCUGCAGGCUGAGCACAGGGUCUCCUGGUCCUCGCUGUUGGCAGUACAGUGUCCCGUUUGUAAACCCUGAUGUCCGGGUGGUGCUGUUGGGAAAUGCUUGUGCCCUGGUCAGGCAGGGCUGGGGAGGGGUGGGCCCAGCACUGGAGGCGCCUGGCUGGAAAACCUCAGCUGCAGUGCAGGCACCAGGCGCGC
Molecule: long non-coding RNA, 1638 nt
Filed under: Oryctolagus cuniculus (rabbit)
Lineage: Eukaryota; Metazoa; Chordata; Mammalia; Lagomorpha; Leporidae
Description: lncRNA (ENSOCUG00000033323.1)
Source: RNAcentral